GCGUCAUUAAACCCCUCAGGCCCCUCCCGGCCUGGUCUUGGGCCCUUUCACCCCCGGGUGGGCCUUAAAAUCAUUGGCAGCGCAGUCCGACUUCGAGCGUAGUAGUUUUCCCGCUCUGGAAGCAUCGGCCUGGUCCUGCCAGCCAACCACCAUCUCAUGCCAUUGACCUCGGAUCAGGUAGGGAUACCCGCUGAACUUAA
This 200-nucleotide unclassified non-coding RNA is filed under the name soil metagenome. RNAcentral describes it as "partial contains internal transcribed spacer 2 and large subunit ribosomal RNA". The record is from RNAcentral.